Molecule: unclassified non-coding RNA, 240 nt
Filed under: soil metagenome
Description: partial contains 5.8S ribosomal RNA, internal transcribed spacer 2, and large subunit ribosomal RNA
Source: RNAcentral
AACGAGGCCGACCUGCGGCUGAGUUACCUGCGGAAGGAUCAUUACAGAGUUCGUGCCCUCGCGGGUAGAUCUCCCACCCUUGUGUAUUCUCUACAUCUUGUUGCUUUGGCAGGCCGUUGGUUCGCCAACCACCGGCUCGCGGGCUGGUGCGUGCCUGCCAGAGGACCUCUCAAACUCGGUUUGUCAGUGUCGUCUGAGUACCAUAACAAUCGUUAAAACUUUCAACAACGGAUCUCAGAU